CGAAUGUCAUAUCCUUUGAGCAAUCUGUCCACUGUCUCUUUCAAUUUUCAGUUUGGACAUUAAUAAAGGAGGAAAAUCUAAGUCCUUAACCUGUGGGAUCUGAUGCUAUUUCGAGAAAAUGGCUAGAAAAAGGGAAUCUAAGAUAGUGGAGCCAUGUAAUGAGAGGAGCCAGAUACCUGUGUCAACACUUGGAGACAAGCUACUGAGGAAUGCAUACGAAUAAACAACAUUGGACUUUACAUGAAGAAGAAAUAAACUUUUCAUUAUUUUGUAUUGUUUUUGUUAUAGAGGCU
RNAcentral lists this long non-coding RNA (293 nucleotides) under Homo sapiens (human). RNAcentral describes it as "HSALNT0071943". Lineage: Eukaryota; Metazoa; Chordata; Mammalia; Primates; Hominidae. The record is from RNAcentral.